This 222-nucleotide unclassified non-coding RNA is filed under the name uncultured Tomentella. Its description in RNAcentral is "sequence contains ITS2". The record is from RNAcentral. Lineage: Eukaryota; Fungi; Basidiomycota; Agaricomycetes; Thelephorales; Thelephoraceae.
ACGCCUCAACUCUUUAUGGUUUUCCAUGAUGAGCUUGGACUUUGGGGGUUUUGCUGGCUUACGGUCGGCUCCUCUAAAAUAAAUCAGCUUACCGGUGUUUGGUGGGUAUCAUGGGUGUGAUAACUAUCUACGCUUGUGGUUUUUCCACCAGGUAACCUUCAGCAGUGGAGGUUCACUGGAGCUCAUAGACGUCUCUCCUCAGCGAGGACAGCCCCUUUGAAU